AAGUCGUAACAAGGUUUCCGUAGGUGAACCUGCGGUAUCCAAACGUUAAAACCCCCCCCUUCAUCCUGCUCUUGUGUAGUUAUUCAGAGACCUCUGGCUACGUGCGAACAUUGGAACAGUUACAAUCGAGCGGUAGUUCUAUAGGCAAUGUUUCCCCAAGCAGUCAGUGUCGGAAAGUGUCAUUGAUUGUGCAAGGAUAGCGCUUCUACGAUUCCUGUAGACCGUACACUCGGGCAGGAGCUUUGCCAAAGGGUCCCCAUGCCCCCUAAUAACCCCACAGUUUAAUGUGAAGCUCAAUGUAAUACAUUGGGUAAAAAAACCGAACAACUGUUAACAAUGGAUAUCUUGGUUCUC
Molecule: unclassified non-coding RNA, 354 nt
Filed under: fungal sp.
Lineage: Eukaryota; Fungi
Description: partial internal transcribed spacer region
Source: RNAcentral